Molecule: non-coding RNA, 75 nt
Organism: Otolemur garnettii (small-eared galago)
Lineage: Eukaryota; Metazoa; Chordata; Mammalia; Primates; Galagidae
Source: Rfam
GCGCCUGUGGCUCAAAAGGGUAGUGCGCUGGCCCCAUAUGCCAGAGGUGGCGGGUUCAAACCCAGCCCAGCCCCG